This 440-nucleotide ribosomal RNA is filed under the name uncultured bacterium. RNAcentral's name for it is "partial 16S ribosomal RNA". It matches the Rfam family "Bacterial small subunit ribosomal RNA", at positions 338 to 795 of the family's 1533-position model. The record is from RNAcentral.
CCUACGGGCGGCUGCAGUCGAGAAUCAUUCACAAUGGGGGAAACCCUGAUGGUGCGACGCCGCGUGAGCGAUGAAGUAUUUCGGUAUGUAAAGCUCUAUCAGCAGGGAAGAAAAUGACGGUACCUGACUAAGAAGCCCCGGCUAACUACGUGCCAGCAGCCGCGGUAAUACGUAGGGGGCAAGCGUUAUCCGGAUUUACUGGGUGUAAAGGGAGCGUAGACGGCGGUGCAAGCCAGAUGUGAAAGCCCGGGGCUCAACCCCGGGACUGCAUUUGGAACUGUGCUGCUAGAGUGUCGGAGAGGCAGGCUGAAUUCCUAGUGUAGCGGUGAAAUGCGUAGAUAUUAGGAGGAACACCAGUGGCGAAGGCGGCCUGCUGGACGAUGACUGACGUUGAGGCUCGAAAGCGUGGGGAGCAAACAGGAUUAGAUACCCCAGUAGUC